This 266-nucleotide ribosomal RNA is filed under the name uncultured archaeon. RNAcentral's name for it is "partial 16S ribosomal RNA". It matches the Rfam family "Archaeal small subunit ribosomal RNA", at positions 718 to 982 of the family's 1478-position model. The record is from RNAcentral.
AGUCACUGACAUUAGAUACCCCCUGUAGUCCAGGGUGUAAACGCUGCAGACUUGGUGUUGGAAGUCCUUUGGGGGCAUUCAGUGCCCGGAGAGAAGUUAUUAAGUCUGCUACUUGGGAGUACGUCCGCAAGGAUGAAACUUAAAGGAAUUGGCGGGGGAGCACCGCAACGGGAGGAGCGUGCGGUUUAAUUGGAUUCAACACCGUAAAACUCACCAGGGAAGACUGUUACAUGAAGGCCGAGAUGAAGACUCUGCUAGAUUUUCAG